RNAcentral lists this transfer RNA (68 nucleotides) under Rachicladosporium sp. CCFEE 5018. It matches the Rfam family "tRNA", at positions 9 to 63 of the family's 71-position model. From Rfam's summary of the family: Transfer RNA (tRNA) molecules are approximately 80 nucleotides in length. Their secondary structure includes four short double-helical elements and three loops (D, anti-codon, and T loops). Lineage: Eukaryota; Fungi; Ascomycota; Dothideomycetes; Cladosporiales; Cladosporiaceae. The record is from Rfam by way of RNAcentral.
AGCUCAAUCGGUAGAGCGUGAGACUCUUAGUAUCACUGCGAUCUCAAGGUCGCGGGUUCGACCCCCGC